GGCCCUUUAGCUCAGUGGUCAGAGCAGGCGGCUCAUAGUCGCUGGUUCAGGUCCAGCAAGGGCCACCA
RNAcentral lists this transfer RNA (68 nucleotides) under Salmonella enterica. Its description in RNAcentral is "tRNA-OTHER". It matches the Rfam family "tRNA". From Rfam's summary of the family: Transfer RNA (tRNA) molecules are approximately 80 nucleotides in length. Their secondary structure includes four short double-helical elements and three loops (D, anti-codon, and T loops). The record is from RNAcentral. Lineage: Bacteria; Pseudomonadati; Pseudomonadota; Gammaproteobacteria; Enterobacterales; Enterobacteriaceae.